GAAAGAGUUGUGAGCUGUCCAUGCUCUUCUGAAACUUGGCUGAGAUGGUCUGGAAUGGAAUCCCAAGGCUCCUAAAACAAGAUUUUGCCUAUAGAUGGGUGCAGAAGAAUUCCUGCUGUUAUGGAAGGAUAUGAGUAGUGAAAAAAGUGUAUAAAAUAGAAGAGAAAUUUGUUUAAAAGCAAGUGUCAUCACUGAGAAAAUGUGCUGCACAUCUAAUUGGAAGGAGAAUUAAGAGAGAAAACAUCACAGGAAAUGAAGGCAUGAAGUUAAGUGAACACACGGUAGUUUCAUGAGCACUGGGGUGUGGGGCCUAGGUGAAAGGAAGAGGUUGGAGAGGGAAGAUAUCAAGUUUGUCAUGGAUAUGCUGACAAAGGGUUGUGUGAUACGCCUACACUCAAGCACUAUAAAAAAUAAAAUCAAAUGGAGACUACAUCAUCUGUUGGAAGAGAAGUGGCAUGAGACCCGACAGAAGAAAUCUGCUAUCAACUAUUCCAUUGACCUAUUCCGGAAGCUGAAGUGAUAUUUAAUCCCUAUGACUUGAAGCACAUGUCCAAAAUAAGUAACAGACACAGAUGUUCACCAUCUUACCAGACUUUUCAUUCUAUAUCUCUUGUGAAGGGAAGGCAUCACAGUGUCUUUAAAUCCAUGCCAUCACAUGGAUCCAACACUGAAAAGAAUCCACAAAGUAUUUAGUCACCUUUGAUUCUAUAAUAUAAUUUGUCUUGAGGUAGUGCUUGUAAAUGGAGCUAAGAAUUGACAUUUGUCUGUUUUAUAAGUACUUUUUCUGCUAGCUGUGAUGAUAAAUACAUCAUUAUCAGUAAUAUUUAUGAAGUGUCCUGUCGUACUAACAGAAAGUUGCACAUACUAAAAUAUAUGUCUGAAUAUUAAAAGACUAUAACUCCUAACUCCUGCUGACAGCCACUAAUGUGCAUUAAUCUUGACAAUGCUAUGUUACCUGAACUCUGUGCUCUUGGAAAACAGCAAAGUUAAGAAAUUCCCCUAGACUGGUGUUCGAAGAAAAAUGGCUUACAUCAAAGAACCAUCCUUCCCAUAGGACUUUCAAAAAACUCCCGUUUACCUAUGACAAGGCUAGUCACAGACCAUCCAAAUUCCUAUCCUUUGCCUCAAAGGGAUUAGCUGAACUGUCUGUACUCACUGACCAAUGUGGACCCAAUACCUGCAAAUUUGACUUGGCUAAAAUAGCUAAAGCUUUUUUUCCUUUCCCCAGGCUCCUUUAAUAUUGACCAGCCCUCAGUCUGAGUCAGCAGUGGGAUAAAGAACUAUCUCCUCUUAAUAGUCACUCUAGGCCAGGCGCGGUGGCUCACCCCUGUAAUCCCAGCACUUUGGGAGGUCGAGGCAGGUGGAUCACGAGGUGAGGAAUUCGAGACGAUCCUGGCUAACACGGUGAAACCCCGUCUCUACUAAAAGAUACAAAAAAAUAAAAAAAUUAAAAAAUAUAAAAAAUUAGCUGGGCGUGGUGACGGGCGCCUGUAAUCGCAGCUAGUAGGAAGGCUGAGACAGGAGAAUAGCGUGAACCUGGGAGGUGGAGCUUGCAGUGAGCCGAGAUCAGGCCACUGCACUCCAGCCUGGACGACAGAGCAAGACGCCAUCUCAAGAAACAAACAAACAAACAAACAAAAAAACAAGUCACUCACUCCAGAGAAUAGGAUGGCCUCAGAAAACAUAUUUCCUGCUUAACAAUCCAAACACACCAUCAGCUCAUCCCAUUUUCUCAUAUCGGGUUCUUACUAGCCUUCUUUAUUCCUCCCUAGAAAAGAAAUUUUAUUUUGGUUGACCUUUGAAACUCUUAUAGAUCUUAUGGUCAGAAGACUCUCCCUACUGCAACAAUCUCCCUCUCUUAUUGCAGUGAUUCUUUUGAAUAAAGUCUUUCCC
This 1893-nucleotide long non-coding RNA is filed under the name Pan troglodytes (chimpanzee). RNAcentral describes it as "lncRNA (ENSPTRG00000053681.1)". Lineage: Eukaryota; Metazoa; Chordata; Mammalia; Primates; Hominidae. The record is from RNAcentral.